RNAcentral lists this transfer RNA (92 nucleotides) under Felis catus (domestic cat). It matches the Rfam family "tRNA". Rfam says of the family: Transfer RNA (tRNA) molecules are approximately 80 nucleotides in length. Their secondary structure includes four short double-helical elements and three loops (D, anti-codon, and T loops). Further hydrogen bonds mediate the characteristic L-shaped molecular structure. tRNAs have two regions of fundamental functional importance: the anti-codon, which is responsible for specific mRNA codon recognition, and the 3' end, to which the tRNAs corresponding amino acid is attached (by aminoacyl-tRNA synthetases). tRNAs cope with the degeneracy of the genetic code in two manners: having more than one tRNA (with a specific anti-codon) for a particular amino acid; and 'wobble' base-pairing, i.e. permitting non-standard base-pairing at the 3rd anti-codon position. Lineage: Eukaryota; Metazoa; Chordata; Mammalia; Carnivora; Felidae. The record is from Rfam by way of RNAcentral.
GCCUGGGUGGCUCAGUCGGUUGAGCGUCCGACUCUUCAUUUCGGCUCAGGUCAUGAUCUCAUGGUUCGUAAGUUCGAGCCCUACUUCGGGCU